Molecule: long non-coding RNA, 2551 nt
Filed under: Homo sapiens (human)
Lineage: Eukaryota; Metazoa; Chordata; Mammalia; Primates; Hominidae
Description: non-protein coding lnc-DNAAF5-3:1
Source: RNAcentral
CCUCGGUGCGUUCCCGGUGCUGGCCGCCGCCGCGCUCGCUCCCCGCGCUGGCUUCAGGAGCGACCCGGCCGAAAUGAAGUUGAAAAUAGCACAGGAGCCCACUAUCACUGUGUGAACAUUUUGUGAAUGAAGACAUGUAUGAAAGGAUGUUUGGAGGCUUCAAGAAACGAAAGCCGAGAGUCUAGCUAGACCAGAGCCAUCCAGCCCAGGAGCGAUGGCCACGUGUGGCCGCUGGACACGAGAGACGUGGCCAGUCCAAACUGUGCAGUGCGGUUGAAAAAAACAUUUUGGAUAUAUGGUGUUAAAUAAACAUGAUUACAAUGACUUUCGCUGUCAGCCUCCCGGAGGCUCAUUUUGCUCCUCUGGGCCACAGCCAGCUCAGAGGGUUGCUCUAGGAAAUAUCUACACGUUCUUGAAGCACAGGUUUAUGUGCCAGGCACUGUACUAAGUGCUGGGGACACGGCGUUAAGACCAGGCCCUCACGGAGCCCUCACUCUCUGAGGAGGAACAAUAAGUCAGAGAGCGCGCGAGUGCAGCCCUUCAGGCAAAGGAUUUCAGGCCCAGGUCAGGAAGGCCUUGUCUGAGGAGUCUGAGAAGAAGUCAAUUGACAACAGCUAGAACAUCUAGGUCAGGCACUCCAGGCCGACACGACAAAGCAGGUGCAAAGGCCCCAGGGCGGGAACCAGCGUGGCUUGUUCACAGAACAAGGAGGUAGAUCGCUUGCCCUUGGGACCAAAGGAAGGCUCUGGAUUUUAUUCUAGGGGCAGUGGAAGCCGUUGGAGGGCCUCAGGCAGGAACACAAGGUGUCGUGGCAGAAAGGAAGAAGGGGCCGGGCACGGUGGCCCACACCCGUCAUCCCAGCACUUUGGGAGGGAGGCCAAGGCAGGAGGAUCGCUUCAAUCCAGGAGUUCAAGAUCAGCCUGGGCAACACAGCAAGACCCCGUCUCUACUAAAACCCUAAAACUUAGCCAGGCUUGGUGGCAUGUGCCUAAGGUCCCAGGUCCUCGGGAGACUAAGGCAGGAGGAUUGCUUAAGCCCAAGAGUUUGAGGCUGCAGUGAACUAUUAUCACACCACUGCACUCAGCCUGGGUGACAGAGUGACUCUGUCUCAAAACUAAAUAAAUAAACAAUAAUUGUGUUAUUCUGUCUCCAUUUCUCGCAUACUGAAUUUAAGGUGGACUCAGCCAGCGGGUUCAGGCCCAGGGUCUGUCCUGCAGCUACAGUCAGGGUUGGUGGCUGCAGCUGUCAUGGGGGAGCGGUGAGGUUGGGGGAACAGGGGGGCUGGCCUGCAUCCCCCACUUUCAGGUGGGCUCAACUCCGUCUCGUGGCCUAUUGGGGGCCAGCAUGGGCUUCCUUACAGCAUGGAGGCCUCCAGGGUCAAGCUGCCUCUGGGAUGGCAGAGGGCUUUGUGUUCGUGCUCCCACGCCCACAGUGGAGGCAAUACACCCUUUCCAGAUCUAGCAGUACAGGUGCGCAGCACCACACCUCUGUACGCUCUCAGCCUAAGCUGUCCCCAGCCCUCCUGGCCUCUGGAGGAGGGGACGCAGAAACUCCAUCCCGGACAGAGGGAGAGCCAGUGUGUGCACAGGCAGCUUCUAACACUGCUUCGUGGUUUCACACGGCUCCCUCAUGGAGAAGGGGCUGGAGGAGGACAGGGAGGUGUGCAGUCAUCUGGGUGACAUAUGAGGGUGGCUGGGCUUCCAGAUGGCUGCAGUGGAGACCGUAAGAAGAGUGCACGAGGUAAGGCUUCCGAAACGCCCAGCAGGUUCCUGGCAGCUGCAGACAACUCAAUUCUUAGCACUUGCCAAUAGCUGGGGUGUAAACACUCCCGCCGUCGCUAUUUCGGGCUAUGCUCCUUGCCUCCACUGGGUCUGGCUCUUAAAACAGCAAGAAAGCAACUCGGAAGCUGAGUCAGCCCCGUCUCUCCACCGUGCCCACAGAUCCUUCCCUGUUCCAGAGCUCCCGUUGGCAGCCAGCUGGGCUUCUCAGGGGGCAUCUCCAGUCCUGUGCAGUCAGAGAAAACCAGGGAAGCAUCUUGAUCUCACCUAGAAAUUAAGGCCAUCACAUCCAACACCUGCAUUUUACAGGUGAGGAGGCUGACAUUACAAGUAGUGGUGGUGGUGACAUUUGAACCCAGACCCCUGUCCUCCGGGGCCUGUUUCCCUGGGAGCUGCGGACUCUGCGUGGAGACACAGAAAUAGAGACCCAGAUGGCUCCCGUAGAAACAGAGUCACCCCCCAGGGCAGCUGGAAGGGAGUGGGAGAGGACAGGUCCUCAAGGGCCUCUGCUCUCCACUUCCCUCCCCGCCUCGCCGUGUCCUCUCCCUUCCUCUCUCCAACCCCUGCAGGGGGAGGCCUGGCUGGGAAGAGACGUUUUCUGAGUAGAUGUUUUGGCUGGGCAGACUGAGCUUUGAGAAGCAGCCAGGCCGAGCGGGGCUAGGGAGUGAGGGCAUUGGGGAGCCUGAACUUUAGUGACCACUGCCCCUCCCAGGCCAAAGCCGCAAACCCCUCCCAUCCCCAAGGGCUUCAGACUCAAGGCCCAAGUUCCUGCA